GCAUAUCAAUAAGCGGAGGAAAAGAAACCAACAGGGAUUGCCCUAGUAACGGCGAGUGAAGCGGCAACAGCUCAAAUUUGAAAUCUGGCCUUCGGGUCCGAGUUGUAAUUUGUAGAGGAUGCUUUUGGUGCGGUGCCUUCCGAGUUCCCUGGAACGGGACGCCAUAGAGGGUGAGAGCCCCGUCUGGUUGGACACCAAUCCUCUGUAAAGCUCCUUCGACGAGUCGAGUAGUUUGGGAAUGCUGCUCUAAAUGGGAGGUAUAUGUCUUCUAAAGCUAAAUACCGGCCAGAGACCGAUAGCGCACAAGUAGAGUGAUCGAAAGAUGAAAAGCACUUUGAAAAGAGGGUUAAAUAGUACGUGAAAUUGUUGAAAGGGAAGCGC
Molecule: ribosomal RNA, 381 nt
Filed under: fungal sp. Cul5
Lineage: Eukaryota; Fungi
Description: eukaryotic LSU rRNA
Rfam family: Eukaryotic large subunit ribosomal RNA
Source: RNAcentral